GCUCAGAUGGUGGAACUGGUAGACACGCAGGACUUAAAAUCCUGUGACCUUAAAAGUCGUGCGGGUUCGAUUCCGCUCUAGUA
This 83-nucleotide transfer RNA is filed under the name Pedobacter sp. IW39. RNAcentral describes it as "tRNA-Leu". It matches the Rfam family "tRNA". From Rfam's summary of the family: Transfer RNA (tRNA) molecules are approximately 80 nucleotides in length. Their secondary structure includes four short double-helical elements and three loops (D, anti-codon, and T loops). Further hydrogen bonds mediate the characteristic L-shaped molecular structure. tRNAs have two regions of fundamental functional importance: the anti-codon, which is responsible for specific mRNA codon recognition, and the 3' end, to which the tRNAs corresponding amino acid is attached (by aminoacyl-tRNA synthetases). tRNAs cope with the degeneracy of the genetic code in two manners: having more than one tRNA (with a specific anti-codon) for a particular amino acid; and 'wobble' base-pairing, i.e. permitting non-standard base-pairing at the 3rd anti-codon position. Lineage: Bacteria; Pseudomonadati; Bacteroidota; Sphingobacteriia; Sphingobacteriales; Sphingobacteriaceae. The record is from RNAcentral.